CCUACGGGAGGCAGCAGUGGGGAAUAUUGCACAAUGGGGGAAACCCUGAUGCAGCGACGCCGCGUGAGUGAAGAAGUAUUUCGGUAUGUAAAGCUCUAUCAGCAGGGAAGAAAAUGACGGUACCUGAUUAAGAAGCCCCGGCUAACUACGUGCCAGCAGCCGCGGGAAUACGUAGGGGGCAAGCGUUAUCCGGAUUUACUGGGUGUAAAGGGAGCGUAGACGGCAGCACAAGUCUGGAGUGAAAGGCCGGGGCUUAACCCCGGAACUGCUUUGGAAACUGUGCAGUUAGAGUGCAGGAGAGGUAAGUGGAAUUCCUGGUGUAGCGGUGAAAUGCGUAGAUAUCAGGAGGAACACCAGUGGCGAAGGCGGCUUACUGGACUGUAACUGACGUUGAGGCUCGAAAGCGUGGGGAGCAAACAGGAUUAGAUACCCCUGUAGUC
This 440-nucleotide ribosomal RNA is filed under the name uncultured bacterium. Its description in RNAcentral is "partial 16S ribosomal RNA". It matches the Rfam family "Bacterial small subunit ribosomal RNA", at positions 338 to 795 of the family's 1533-position model. The record is from RNAcentral.